AUACUUACCUGGAUGGGGUCAAUGAGUGAUCAAUAAGGCUCAUGGCCUAGGCUUAUGACCUCCAUUGCACUUAAGAGGGGUGCUUGCCUAUGGUCUCCACAUGUGGGAGAGCCUACAUCAUAAUUUGUGGUAGUGGGGAUUUGUGUUUGCGUAGUCUCUU
Lupinus angustifolius (narrow-leaved blue lupine) is the source of this 160-nucleotide small nuclear RNA. It matches the Rfam family "U1 spliceosomal RNA". From Rfam's summary of the family: U1 is a small nuclear RNA (snRNA) component of the spliceosome (involved in pre-mRNA splicing). Its 5' end forms complementary base pairs with the 5' splice junction, thus defining the 5' donor site of an intron. The record is from Rfam. Lineage: Eukaryota; Viridiplantae; Streptophyta; Magnoliopsida; Fabales; Fabaceae.